RNAcentral lists this long non-coding RNA (1032 nucleotides) under Carassius auratus (goldfish). RNAcentral's name for it is "lncRNA (ENSCARG00000052789.1)". The record is from RNAcentral. Lineage: Eukaryota; Metazoa; Chordata; Actinopteri; Cypriniformes; Cyprinidae.
AUGUUUUCCCCCACAAUAUAUGUUUGAAGUGGAAUUGUCGUGUGUGUGUGUAAGCUACAUUCCUGUUUGCCAUGCACUCUCUAUGUGUCAUGAGGGCUGACUGUCAAUAGUAAGAGUCCUGCGACACUGAUUUGUUCCAACUGUCUGGAUGUUGAGGAUUUAUCAUCUGGGAUGUGAAUUAACCCCUCUGUUGUGCUAAUAGGAGAAGAGAUGCCCUGUUGAAAUACUUACUAUCUGCCUCAGAAAAGCUCUGUGCAACCUGUUGACUUCGAGUCUGCUGUAUCCCUGCCAUUCAACUGUAUGGUGAGAGGUGUUCGCUCCUUCCAAUACAUGUGAAUUGUAUACUUGCCUGAAACAUCCAUUCUGUCUGUCUCAGAAGAAGCCCCAUUCAGCCUGUUGACUUCGAGUCUGCUGUAUCCCUGCCAUUCAACUGUAUGGUGAGAAGUGUUCGCUCCUUCCAAUACAUGUGAACUGUAUACUUGCUUGAAACAUCAAUUCUGUCUGUCUCAGAAGAAGCCCAUAUUCAGCCUGUUGACUUCGAGUCUGCUGUAUCCCUGCCAUUCAACUGUAUGGUGAGAAGUGUUCGUUCCUUCCACUGCCUGUGAACUGUAUACUUGCCUGAAACAUCCAUUCUGUCCGUCUCAGAAGAAGCCCCAUUCAGCCUGUUGACUUCGAGUCUGCUGUAUCCCUGCUAUUCGUCUGUAUUGUGAGAAGUGUUCGUUCCUUCCAAUGCAUGUGAACUGUAUACUUGCCUGAAACAUCCAUUCUGUCUGUCUCAGAAGAAGCCCCAUUCAGCCUGUUGACUUCGAGUCUGCUGUAUCCCUGCCAUUCAACUAAGAAGCCCCAUUCAGCCUGUUGACUUCGAGUCUGCUGUAUCCCUGCUAUUCGUCUGUAUUGUGAGAAGUGUUCGUUCUUCCAAUGCAUGUGAACUGUAUACUUGCCUGAAACAUCCAUUCUGUCUGUCUCAGAAGAAGCCCCAUUCAGCCUGUUGACUUCGAGUCUGCUGUAUCCCUGCCAUUCAACUGUAUGGUG